RNAcentral lists this long non-coding RNA (3500 nucleotides) under Mus musculus (house mouse). RNAcentral describes it as "long non-coding RNA chr18:54426195-54429695". The record is from RNAcentral. Lineage: Eukaryota; Metazoa; Chordata; Mammalia; Rodentia; Muridae.
GUUGUGUGUGUGUGUGUGUGUGUGUGUGUGUGUGUAUCUGCGUACAUGCAUACAUAUACAUAUAAUUCGAGUUGCAGCUUAGUUAAGUAAUGAAGCUGCAGAAAUAAUGCUCAUGAGUGAGUAGUACAAUAUACUUGAUAUUGUUUACAUGACAAGUUCUACGAUAAAAGCUUUAUAAAUAUGAUUUAUAAAGUAUAAAGUAUAAAAAUUUAUAAAGUAUGGAUUGCAUUCCAUACCUACAGCAACCUUACAAAUUGGGUGCUGUUAGUAGCCCUGUUUAAAAACGAGGAAGCAGGUUCAGAAAAAUGGACCACUUUCCCAGUUCAUCCAUCUCUGUAGUACAAACACAGGCUUGAUGGACAUCAGAAACCCUGGGCUCAAGUGCUAUUCAAUUAUAUUUAUUUGUGAUGCUGACAAUGUGACUGAAGUAAUUUAUAAAAAAGCAAUAUUGACGUUUAAUUUAAUUGUCUGCUUGUUAGGGUCAUAAAAUUCUAAUGACACCAUUUAGUAAGUCCAUGCCUUGCCUAUCUAGCAUCCAUUUAUUCCAUUUACACAAUGGAAAUAAAAUUUUACAAGUUAGUAAUGGCAAUUAGACACCACCAUGUGCUAUAAAUGACCUAUUACAUCACAAUGUUCUCUAAGCUGCAACUGUGUGCGUUUUGUUGUUGAGAAAGGUGUCUCAUUUUGCAAUCAAACUCAUCAUGGAGUUCUGACUUAUGAUCCUCCAGCUUCAGGACCGGGAUAACAAGUAUGCGCAACCAAACCCAGCUGGGAGAUCACUAAUGAAUAAAAAAUUCUUUCCUCAGCCCUAUAUUAUCAUUGGUUUCCUAGUGGAUCUCAAGACAGACAGACAUACUUCAUCAUCCUUAAGUUUCUAGUUCGGUUUAUACUUCUAACGCUAACGGAAGCAUAUAUUUAAUAAUAACAUUAAAGACAUUUUUACAGAGAAUCCACUACAAAAUGAAAAUACAGAUACAUACAUGUAGUUACAGAUACGUGCACAUAUAGGGAGAUCAGUCUGUAUUCAUGUAAUUCUCACACUAAUCUGACAAGGUGGAGGUACCUCCAUUAUUAUGCAAUUUUAAAGAAUCCGGGUAGACAAUGAAAUAGCAGGGUCCCACGAAAAGAUGGUAUCUGCCUUGCUCAAGCUGACUGCAGACUCAUUGCUCACGCCAAUGAUUCACAAUUUCGCCUUUAAAUCUGGUUUAAUGAGGAUGUUUUCAAUUUACUUUAACAGCCAGUGACAUUGCUGUGCAUGUUACUGAUAUGUUUUUGUGUAGUAAAGUAAAAACACAACAUACUACCACAUUAAUAGGGAUCACAAAUGCUUGAGGGGAGUAUUGUUAAAAUGCCCACCCAACUCAAGCUGAGGACAUUUAGAAUAUUAUUUUGUUACUUAAAAAAAAUAGCUAUACUGUUUAAUUCAGAUAAUGUGAGAAGCGUUCACUGAUGUCUCUCCAGGUAAAUUGGUUCCUUAUGGGUGCCCUGCCACUAUCUAAGAGCUAUCAAACCAUACAAUGUAUUCUAGACUUACUCUUGAUUGAGGUGACAGCUGUUAAACUGACAUUUUGACAUAUUCCCCUUGAGAUAUGCAUCUGAAAGAGGUUGGGAAUUUGAGAGACUGCUCCCUGGGUCAUCAUUAAUUUAGGUUCUUAGGAAUACUUUCAAAUGUAGUCAUAAGAGUUAACAGGGUGUGGCCUGAAUCCCAUGAACUUGAGAGCUUAUCAGGGAUGUUUAUGUUUUUCUUUUUGUUUUGUUUUUUUUUGUUUUUUUUUUGUUGUUGUUGUUGUUGUUUUGUCUUUUUCCAAAAGGUGGUAAAAGGUGUGAGGAAACAACUGUUAAAGUGCAGAUAUAAAAUGUUUCAUACUUUGGCGAAAGCUUCAGCUGGCAAGUGUGCAAGCUGCUAUUUGUGGAGCCUGAGGCCAACACUAUGUGAUCUGCGAACAAUUCUAGUUUUUUGUUUUAUUUCUAGCACCCUCAACAGAUAACAAUGUUCUUAUUGAUUCCUGACUUGUUUUAUUUGACACAGUAGGAGAAUCUAUAAGUUUUGACUAGCAACACAAUCUUGGUUUCCAGUCAUGUAAUGGAUGGCUUUUACUUAAUUGGUCUUUUAUUUAUUUAAUUCAAGAAAUAAACAUCUCUAUUCUUACUAUUUAAAUCAAAAGCUAAGGUCUUGACAAUAGUCUGAAUUAAACCACGGAGUGAUGGCCAUCUUCCGUGGCCGUUGAGCUGGAAGUGAAUGUCACUUUGAACACCUUCAUACCCAUCCCUCACCUUUCCUCUGUGGAUUUGUUUUAAUCUUAUCUCUUAAAAAAUAUUAUCCUUCAAGCUGUUCACUGUGUUGUUGAGGUGUCUUUUUUUCAUGAUGCAGUGUUUUAUUUGUUCUGCAAGCUACAAAUUCUACACACAAUUGUUUUCAUUUACCUUGUCCUGUUUGAGUUACUGUUGGGUUAAAUUCCCCCCAGUGUGAACAAACACUGGUGUCACAUAUUUUCUUUCAUUCCACAUAUGCAUGUGUUUUCUUUAGCGUGUGUAAGUAGGUGUGCAAUGGCCAGGUUGUAAGUGAUGUGUAUUCAACUGCACAGGAAACAUAUUUCCUAAAGCAAGCACAGCAGUUUAUAUACCUGCUCACUGUGUAUAAAAGACCAAGCUAUUCUAAACCCUUGAAGCACUUAACACGCCCCACUUCUGUGCCCUUCUCCUUAGAGUUUCUCCCUCUUGAUCACUGGCACACAUACCUGCUCACAAGAGUUGCAAUCGCCUCUAUGGGAUGAGAUGGCUUUUAAAAAAUGUCUUAAUCUUAUCAUGUUUAUAAUUCAUAACUUUUCUUAUUAAAGGGAUAUUUCUAUGUACUUUAUUAAUUUAUAACAGAGACCAAAAACUUUUCCUACAAUUUUUCUUGUAUAUGUGCAACUCAUAUGGUGGACAAUGGGACAUAUAUGACAUAAGUUUUCAGCCUCUCCUUUUAGAGAAAAGGUAGCUGUUGGUAAUACCGACAUGAAUAACUAUAGUUAUAUUUCAGUAACUAUUUACAAAAAUAGGCAUGAGACUAGAUCUGGGUGUUUGGGUUAUAGUUUCCUGGUUCCUGCCUUCGGGGAUGAGAGGUAUUGAUGGAGAUAUUGUUAAUUUUUCAACUGGCAGAAUGGCUGGCCCUGUACUAAGAGGCUUGCAAGAUACUGUGACAGUACCUGACUGUAUGCUACAGUACAUUAGAGUAUGUAAUUGUAGCUCAAAGAGCAUUUAUUCUUCUGGUUGUUUCUUUGUGGAUAGAAAAAAAAAUGAACAUAAACUUUUCCAACAGAACUUCGAGCCUGAUUUAAAAAAAAAUCAAAGCUAAGGCUGGAAACGUGGCUCAGUGGCUGUAGAAACAAGGAGACAAGAAUGUAGAUCACUAGAACAUAUAUGAAUGCCAGGUCAGCAUGGUAGCUUGCCUAUAAUCUUAAUGCUCAGUAGGAAGAGACAGGGGAUCUCUGGAGCAAGCUAACUAGCUGGAUUCAUCU